UACGGAGGGGGGUAGCGUUGUUCGGAAUUACUGGGCGUAAAGCGCACGUAGGCGGGCUGUUAAGUCGGGGGUGAAAUCCCGGGGCUCAACCCCGGAACUGCCUUCGAUACUGGCAGCCUUGAGUUCGAGAGAGGUGAGUGGAAUUCCGAGUGUAGAGGUGAAAUUCGUAGAUAUUCGGAGGAACACCAGUGGCGAAGGCGACUCACUGGCUCGAUACUGACGCUGAGGUGCGAAAGUGUGGGGAGCAAACAGG
This 253-nucleotide ribosomal RNA is filed under the name uncultured bacterium. Its description in RNAcentral is "partial 16S ribosomal RNA". It matches the Rfam family "Bacterial small subunit ribosomal RNA", at positions 524 to 776 of the family's 1533-position model. The record is from RNAcentral.